This 807-nucleotide ribosomal RNA is filed under the name uncultured bacterium. RNAcentral describes it as "bacterial SSU rRNA". It matches the Rfam family "Bacterial small subunit ribosomal RNA", at positions 53 to 853 of the family's 1533-position model. The record is from RNAcentral.
UUUCGCAAGGUCCGUGGGGCAACAUGAAUGUAGCAAUACAUUUGAUGGCGCCGGCAAACGGGUGCGGAACACGUACACAACCUUCCUAUAAGUGGGGAAUAGCCCAGAGAAAUUUGGAUUAAUACCCCGUAACAUAACGAUGUGGCAUCACAUUGUUAUUAUAGCUUCGGCGCUUAUUGAUGGGUGUGCGGCUGAUUAGAUAGUUGGCGGGGUAACGGCCCACCAAGUCUACGAUCAGUAGCUGAUGUGAGAGCAUGAUCAGCCACACGGGCACUGAGACACGGGCCCGACUCCUACGGGAGGCAGCAGUAAGGAAUAUUGGUCAAUGGACGCAAGUCUGAACCAGCCAUGCCGCGUGAAGGAUUAAGGUCCUCUGGAUUGUAAACUUCUUUUAUCUGGGACGAAAAAAGGCGAUUCUUCGUCACUUGACGGUACCAGAUGAAUAAGCACCGGCUAACUCCGUGCCAGCAGCCGCGGUAAUACGGAGGGUGCAAGCGUUAUCCGGAUUCACUGGGUUUAAAGGGUGCGUAGGCGGGCAGGUAAGUCAGUGGUGAAAUCCUGGAGCUUAACUCCAGAACUGCCAUUGAUACUAUCUGUCUUGAAUAUUGUGAAGGUAAGCGGAAUAUGUCAUGUAGCGGUGAAAUGCUUAGAUAUGACAUAGAACACCUAUUGCGAAGGCAGCUUACUACGCAUAUAUUGACGCUGAGGCACGAAAGCGUGGGGAUCAGCAGGAUUAGAUACCCUGGUAGUCCACGCCCUAAACGAUGGAUACUCGACAUACGCGAUACACUGUGUGUUGUCUGAGCG